RNAcentral lists this ribosomal RNA (500 nucleotides) under uncultured bacterium. Its description in RNAcentral is "partial 16S ribosomal RNA". It matches the Rfam family "Bacterial small subunit ribosomal RNA", at positions 28 to 507 of the family's 1533-position model. The record is from RNAcentral.
GACGAACGCUGGUGGCGUGCCUAAUACAUGCAAGUCGAGCGGACUGAUUAAGAGCUUGCUCUUAUGACGUUAGCGGCGGACGGGUGAGUAACACGUGGGCAACCUGCCCUGUAGAUCGGGAUAACACCGAGAAAUCGGUGCUAAUACCGGGUAAUAUCUGAGAUCACAUGAUCUUAGGUUAAAAGAUGGCUCCGGCUAUCACUACAGGAUGGGCCCGCGGCGCAUUAGCUAGUUGGUAAGGUAAUGGCUUACCAAGGCGACGAUGCGUAGCCGACCUGAGAGGGUGAUCGGCCACACUGGGACUGAGACACGGCCCAGACUCCUACGGGAGGCAGCAGUAGGGAAUCUUCCGCAAUGGACGAAAGUCUGACGGAGCAACGCCGCGUGAGUGAUGAAGGGUUUCGGCUCGUAAAGCUCUGUUGUUAGGGAAGAAACAGUACCGAACGAACUAGGUCGGUACCUUGACGGUACCUAACCAGAAAGCCACGGCUAACUACGUG